CCUGGUUGAUUCUGCCAGUAGUCAUAUGCUUGUCUCAAAGAUUAAGCCAUGCAUGUCUAAGUAUAAGCAACUUUAUACUGUGAAACUGCGAAUGGCUCAUUAAAUCAGUUAUAGUUUAUUUGAUGGUACUUUGCUACAUGGAUAACUGUGGUAAAUCUAGAGCUAAUACAUGCUUAAAAGCCCCGACUUCUUGGAAGGGGUGUAUUUAUUAGAUAAAAACCAACCCUUCGGGUCCCUUGGUGAAUCAUAAUAACUUUUCUAAUCGCAUGGCCUUGUGCCGGCGAUGCUUCAUUCAAAUAUCUGCCCUAUCAACUGUCGAUGGUAGGAUAGAGGCCUACCAUGGUUGCAACGGGUAACGGGGAAUAAGGGUUCGAUUCCGGAGAGGGAGCCUGAGAAACGGCUACCACAUCCAAGGAAGGCAGCAGGCGCGCAAAUUACCCAAUCCCGACACGGGGAGGUAGUGACAAUAAAUAACAAUAUAGGGCUUUUAAAGUCUUAUAAUUGGAAUGAGUACAAUUUAAAUCCCUUAACGAGGAACAAUUGGAGGGCAAGUCUGGUGCCAGCAGCCGCGGUAAUUCCAGCUCCAAUAGCGUAUAUUAAAGUUGUUGCAGUUAAAAAGCUCGUAGUUGAACUUCAGGCCUGGCCGGUCGGUCCGCUUAACAGCGUGUACUGCUUGGCCGGGCCUUCUCUCUUGGUGAUCCGGCAUGCUCUUUACUGGGUGUGUCGGGGAACCAGGAUUUUUACUUUGAAAAAAUUAGAGUGUUCAAAGCAGGCCUAUGCCCGAAUAUAUUAGCAUGGAAUAAUAAAAUAGGACGUGCGGUUCUAUUUUGUUGGUUUCUAGGAUCGCCGUAAUGAUUACACAGUCUCCGCCGCAGCUAUCCUCCCACCCGGCAUUGGUGGCCUUGGUCCGGUGAGUUCUCUACGGCCAGAGAUUUCUGGCCAUGAAACGGUCCUCUACUGAAAGUACCGCAUGUUUGUUGAAUCGAGUAUCUUCAUAUCCUACAGUGUACCAACUGCGGCAAGCCAGUUCUCUGUUGCGAUAAAAGGUCUUUGUGAAGGCGGAAGUCUCCUCCGAGAGCCUGCCUGAUGUGGGUACGUCCGGUGAAGGAACCGACCCUUGCCGACCUUGGCAUCAGAGUGGGGUUCCAGAGGCACAUCCCAUUGCGUUUUUGAGUUCCUAUGAGUACUUCCACGCUCAUGUAUCCACGGCGAAGACUUCAGA
This 1222-nucleotide ribosomal RNA is filed under the name Tilletia indica. Its description in RNAcentral is "SSU rRNA". The stretch from base 1 to 1046 matches the Rfam family "Eukaryotic small subunit ribosomal RNA". Lineage: Eukaryota; Fungi; Basidiomycota; Exobasidiomycetes; Tilletiales; Tilletiaceae. The record is from RNAcentral.